AGGAUGAACGCUGGCGGCGUGCCUAAAACAUGCAAGUCAUACGGGCUACCUUCGGGUAGCCAGUGGCAAACGGGUGAGUAACACGUGGGAACGCGCCUUGGGGUGGGGAAUAACGCUGAGAAAUCAGUGCUAAUACCGCAUACGGUCUAACGACUAAAGCAGCAGUGCGCCCCGAGAGCGGCCCGCGACCGAUUAGCUAGUUGGUGGGGUAAUGGCCUACCAAGGCGGUGAUCGGUAGCUGGUCUGAGAGGAUGGUCAGCCACACUGGGACUGCGAACGGCCCAGACUCCUACGGGAGGCAGCAGUUAGGAAUUUUCGGCAAUGGACGAAAGUCUGACCGAGCGACGCCGCGUGGAGGAUGACGCCUUUCGGGGUGUAAACUCCUUUUCUGCGGGAAGAUAAUGACGGUACCGCAGGAAUAAGCACCGGCUAACUACGUGCCAGCAGCCGC
RNAcentral lists this ribosomal RNA (451 nucleotides) under uncultured bacterium. RNAcentral's name for it is "SSU rRNA". It matches the Rfam family "Bacterial small subunit ribosomal RNA", at positions 26 to 518 of the family's 1533-position model. The record is from RNAcentral.